ACUCCUACGGGAGGCAGCAGUGGGAAUAUUGCACAAUGGGCGCAAGCCUGAUGCAGCCAUGCCGCUGUGUGAAGAAGGCCUUCGGGUUGUGAAAGUCACUUUCAGUCAGUUGAGGAAAGGCGUGGUAGUGUUAAUAGCACUAUUAUUUGACGUUAGCGACAGAAGAAGCACCGGCUAACUCCGUGCCAGCAGCCGCGGUAAUACGGAGGGUGCGAGCGUUAAUCGGAAUUACUGGGCGUAAAGCGCAUGCAGGUGGUUUGUUAAGUCAGAUGUGAAAGGCCCGGGGCUCAACCUCGGAAU
This 300-nucleotide ribosomal RNA is filed under the name uncultured bacterium. Its description in RNAcentral is "bacterial SSU rRNA". It matches the Rfam family "Bacterial small subunit ribosomal RNA", at positions 335 to 621 of the family's 1533-position model. The record is from RNAcentral.